RNAcentral lists this ribosomal RNA (445 nucleotides) under uncultured Bacteroidota bacterium. Its description in RNAcentral is "bacterial SSU rRNA". It matches the Rfam family "Bacterial small subunit ribosomal RNA", at positions 354 to 796 of the family's 1533-position model. The record is from RNAcentral. Lineage: Bacteria; Pseudomonadati; Bacteroidota.
GUGAGGAAUAUUGGUCAAUGGGCGCAAGCCUGAACCAGCCAUCCCGCGUGCAGGAAGAAGGCGCUAUGCGUUGUAAACUGCUUUUCCAGGGGGCGAACGUUUCGUACGUGUACGGGAGUGACGGUACCUUGGGAAUAAGCAUCGGCUAACUCCGUGCCAGCAGCCGCGGUAAUACGGAGGAUGCGAGCGUUAUCCGGAUUUAUUGGGUUUAAAGGGUGCGUAGGCGGAUUAAUAAGUCAGUGGUGAAAGUCUGCAGCUUAACUGUGGCACUGCCGUUGAUACUGUUAGUCUUGAGUAUGGUCAAGGUAGGCGGAAUGUGUAAUGUAGCGGUGAAAUGCUUAGAUAUUACACAGAACACCGAUUGCGAAGGCAGCUUACUGGGCCGUUACUGACGCUGAUGCACGAAAGCGUGGGGAUCGAACAGGAUUAGAAACCCCGGUAGUCC